UUGACCUACGGGGCGCAGCAGUGAGGAAUAUUGGUCAAUGGGCGGGAGCCUGAACCAGCCAAGUCGCGUGAGGGAAGACGGUCGUAUGGAUUGUAAAGCUCUUUAGGCGGGGAGCAAUGCCGGGCACGCGUGCCCGGAGGGAGAGUACCCGCCGAAUAAGCAUCGGCUAACUCCGUGCCAGCAGCCGCGGUAAUACGGAGGAUGCGAGCGUUAUCCGGAUUUGUUGGGGUUAAAGGGUGCGUAGGCGGAUUUUUAAGUCAGCGGUAAAAUGUCCGGGCUAAACCCGGGCCGGCCGUUG
RNAcentral lists this ribosomal RNA (298 nucleotides) under uncultured bacterium. RNAcentral's name for it is "partial 16S ribosomal RNA". It matches the Rfam family "Bacterial small subunit ribosomal RNA", at positions 334 to 629 of the family's 1533-position model. The record is from RNAcentral.